CUCAUUCCCCUCGUUACUUCCCAGUGUAUUUAAACCCUGUGUUUCUCUGAGUCAGUGUCGCGUCAUCCCUCAAGCUGUGUGUUUCCUUGGGUGCCGCUCCGUCAAGUGUCAUCCCCGGAUUCCACACCAGUGUCAUAGUCCCUCAGCCUGGGCUGCAGGCCUCCCACGUAGCUGCUGAUGUCAGAGUCUCUGCAAACAGGAUUUACUGAUUCAUCCAUUUUUGCAAAAGCCUUAUAAUUAUCUGCCAUUAAAACAAACACACUUGAACCCUUGUAGCAUGCUUACAGAGCCAACUGGUCUCAAAUAUGGUUAAUAUGGUUCCCCAUUAUCCUUCAGCACCUUAAACUUCAAUACUUAAGCAUGAGCUGACCCAUCAGAGGUGGAUCAAGUGUUACUACAGAGUUAUGUGCACCUCUUCUCUUUACAGCAGACCUCAUUUCAAAUUUGGUACAAGUACACUGAUCGUGUGUUGACCUGAUGUGAACAGAAGUAUCCUCGUCUGACCAGCUGGAGUUCCCUCUUCACGGCAGGAAGCAGUUUCUGCAGCAGCUGACAUGUUCAACUUGGCAUGGCUGAUAAUGAUGCACUUUUACACAGCAACGAAGAAGAGUUUCUUACUGACCCACACUCACAAAUAAAUGUAUCUUCAUGGUACAUUUCUAUUUCAAAUGUUAUUUAUUCUCUCUGUUUCAGUGAGUGUUUUUCACUACAACACCAACAAUACAAAGCUCUUUCCUUAUGAAUUUAGCAAUGUUAAAAAUAUAAUGAAAGAGGCUUUGGUGGUGGAUUGUAGGUGUGAUUGU
Long non-coding RNA from Oreochromis niloticus (Nile tilapia), 803 nucleotides. RefSeq lists it as uncharacterized. Lineage: Eukaryota; Metazoa; Chordata; Actinopteri; Cichliformes; Cichlidae. The transcript has 2 exons. The record is from RefSeq and is a predicted model, not a curated record.